UACGGAGGAUCCAAGCGUUAUCCGGAUUUAUUGGGUUUAAAGGGUGCGUAGGCGGAAUGAUAAGUCAGUGGUGAAAGCCUGCAGCUUAACUGUAGAAUUGCCGUUGAUACUGUUGUUCUUGAGUAUAUUUGAUGUGGGCGGAAUGUGUCAUGUAGCGGUGAAAUGCUUAGAUAUGACACAGAACACCGAUUGCGAAGGCAGCUCACAAAACUAUAACUGACACUGAGGCACGAAAGCGUGGGGAUCAAACAGG
Molecule: ribosomal RNA, 253 nt
Filed under: uncultured bacterium
Lineage: Bacteria
Description: partial 16S ribosomal RNA
Rfam family: Bacterial small subunit ribosomal RNA
Source: RNAcentral